ACAGCAGUAGCCGCGGUAAAACGUAGGUGGCAAGCGUUGUCCGGAAUUAUUGGGCGUAAAGGGCUCGCAGGCGGUUUCUUAAGUCUGAUGUGAAAGCCCCCGGCUCAACCGGGGAGGGUCAUUGGAAACUGGGAAACUUGAGUGCAGAAGAGGAGAGUGGAAUUCCACGUGUAGCGGUGAAAUGCGUAGAGAUGUGGAGGAACACCAGUGGCGAAGGCGACUCUCUGGUCUGUAACUGACGCUGAGGAGCGAAAGCGUGGGGAGCGAACAGGAUUAGAUACCCCCGUAGUCCCUGUCUCUUAUAC
RNAcentral lists this ribosomal RNA (305 nucleotides) under uncultured bacterium. RNAcentral's name for it is "partial 16S ribosomal RNA". It matches the Rfam family "Bacterial small subunit ribosomal RNA", at positions 506 to 807 of the family's 1533-position model. The record is from RNAcentral.